CCUACGGGUGGCAGCAGUGAGGAAGAGUGGUCAAUGGACGAGAGUCUGAACCAGCCAAGUAGCGUGAAGGAUGACUGCCCUAUGGGGUGUAAACUUCUGUUAUAGGGGAAUAAAAUGUUCCACGUGUGGGAUUUUGUAUGUACCAUAUGAAUAAGGAUCGGCUAACUCCGUGCCAGCAGCCGAGGUAAUACGGAGGAUCCGAGCGUUAUCCGGAUUUAUUGGGUUUAAAGGGAGCGUAGGUGGAUUGGUAAGUCAGGUGUGAAAGUUUGCGGCUCAACCGUAAAAUUGCAGUUGAAACUUGCAGUCUUGAGUACAGUAGAGGUGGGCGGAAUUCGUGGUGUCGCGGU
This 347-nucleotide ribosomal RNA is filed under the name uncultured bacterium. Its description in RNAcentral is "partial 16S ribosomal RNA". It matches the Rfam family "Bacterial small subunit ribosomal RNA", at positions 338 to 682 of the family's 1533-position model. The record is from RNAcentral.